GAUGAAGAACGCAGCGAAAUGCGAUAAGUAAUGUGAAUUGCAGAAUUCAGUGAAUCAUCGAAUCUUUGAACGCACCUUGCACUCCUUGGUAUUCCGAGGAGUACGCCUGUUCGAGUGUUAUGAAGCUCUCAAAACGCAAUUGGCUUAAAACCUGAUUGUUGUUUUGGAUUUGAACUUUGCCGUGUUAUAACGGCUGGUUUUAAAAGUAUUAGCUGGUACUAGAACGAAUUGGUUCUGCUCAACGUGAUAAUUAUCUGAUCGUUGAGGACAUUCCUUUCACGAGGAAUGGCCAUAGUAAAUUCAAUGGACUGCUUCUAAUCUGGCUUUAAUUCUUUAUUGGAUUAACCACUUUUCAAAUCUGACCUCGAAUCAGGUGGGACUACCCGCUGAACUUAAGCAUAUCAAUAAGCGGAGGA
Molecule: unclassified non-coding RNA, 416 nt
Filed under: soil metagenome
Description: partial contains 5.8S ribosomal RNA, internal transcribed spacer 2, and large subunit ribosomal RNA
Rfam family: 5.8S ribosomal RNA (bases 1-120)
Source: RNAcentral